RNAcentral lists this ribosomal RNA (1298 nucleotides) under metagenome. RNAcentral describes it as "bacterial LSU rRNA". It matches the Rfam family "Bacterial large subunit ribosomal RNA", at positions 1635 to 2925 of the family's 2925-position model. The record is from RNAcentral.
UACACGACCGUACCGCAAACCGACACUGGUGCGCGAGAUGAGUAUUCUAAGGCGCUUGAGAGAACUCAGGAGAAGGAACUCGGCAAAUUGACACCGUAACUUCGGAAGAAGGUGUGCCUUUAGUAGGUGAACCUGUACAAGGGGAGCCCAAUGAGGUUGCAAAAAAUCGGUGGCUGCGACUGUUUAAUAAAAACACAGCACUCUGCAAACACGAAAGUGGACGUAUAGGGUGUGACGCCUGCCCGGUGCUGGAAGAUUAAAUGAUGGGGUGCAAGCUCUUGAUUGAAGUCCCAGUAAACGGCGGCCGUAACUAUAACGGUCCUAAGGUAGCGAAAUUCCUUGUCGGGUAAGUUCCGACCUGCACGAAUGGCGUAACGAUGGCCACACUGUCUCCUCCUGAGACUCAGCGAAGUUGAAAUGUUUGUGAUGAUGCAAUCUCCCCGCGGAAAGACGGAAAGACCCCAUGAACCUUUACUGUAGCUUUGUAUUGGACUUUGAACAGAUCUGUGUAGGAUAGGUGGGAGGCUUUGAAGUGUGGUCGCUAGAUCGCAUGGAGCCAACGUUGAAAUACCACCCUGGUGUGUUUGAGGUUCUAACCUAGGCCCGUAAUCCGGGUCGGGGACAGUGCAUGGUAGGCAGUUUGACUGGGGCGGUCUCCUCCCAAAGCGUAACGGAGGAGUUCGAAGGUACGCUAGGUACGGUCGGACAUCGUGCUAAUAGUGCAAUGGCAUAAGCGUGCUUAACUGCGAGACUGACAAGUCGAGCAGAUGCGAAAGCAGGACAUAGUGAUCCGGUGGUUCUGUAUGGAAGGGCCAUCGCUCAACGGAUAAAAGGUACUCUGGGGAUAACAGGCUGAUACCGCCCAAGAGUUCAUAUCGACGGCGGUGUUUGGCACCUCGAUGUCGGCUCAUCUCAUCCUGGGGCUGUAGCCGGUCCCAAGGGUAUGGCUGUUCGCCAUUUAAAGAGGUACGUGAGCUGGGUUUAAAACGUCGUGAGACAGUUUGGUCCCUAUCUUCCGUGGGCGCUGCAGAUUUGAGGAAGCCUGCUCCUAGUACGAGAGGACCGGAGUGGACACACCUCUGGUGUAUCGGUUGUCACGCCAGUGGCAUUGCCGAGUAGCUAUGUGUGGAAGAGAUAACCGCUGAAAGCAUCUAAGCGGGAAACUCGUUUCAAGAUGAGAUCUGCCGGGGCCUUGAGCCCCCUAAAGAGUCGUUCAAGACCAGGACGUUGAUAGGUCGGGUGUGGAAGCGCAGUAAUGCGUUAAGCUAACCGAUACUAAUUGCUCGUGCGGCUUGAUC